This 506-nucleotide ribosomal RNA is filed under the name uncultured bacterium. Its description in RNAcentral is "partial 16S ribosomal RNA". It matches the Rfam family "Bacterial small subunit ribosomal RNA", at positions 29 to 523 of the family's 1533-position model. The record is from RNAcentral.
AGUGAACGCUGGCGGUAGGCCUAACACGUGCAAGUCGAACGGCAGCACAGGAGAGCUUGCUCUCUGGGUGGCGAGUGGCGGACGGGUGAGGAAUACAUCGGAAUCUACUCUGUCGUGGGGGAUAACGUAGGGAAACUUACGCUAAUACCGCAUACGACCUACGGGUGAAAGCAGGGGAUCUUCGGACCUUGCGCGAUUGAAUGAGCAGAUGUCGGAUGAGCUAGUUGGCGGGGUAAAGGCCCACCAAGGCGACGAUCCGUAGCUGGUCUGAGAGGACGAUGAGCCACACUGGAACGGAGACACAGUCCAGACUCCUACGGGAGGCAGCAGUGGGGAAUAUUGGACAAUGGGCGCAAGCCUGAGCCAGCCAUACCGCGUGGGUGAAGAAGGCCUUCGGGUUGUAAAGCCCUUUUGUUGGGAAAGAAAUCCAGCUGGCUAAUACCCGGUUGGGAUGACGGUACCCAAAGAAUAAGCACCGGCUAACUUCGUGCCAGCAGCCGCCGUAA